This 319-nucleotide ribosomal RNA is filed under the name uncultured eukaryote. Its description in RNAcentral is "partial 18S ribosomal RNA". It matches the Rfam family "Eukaryotic small subunit ribosomal RNA", at positions 1470 to 1796 of the family's 1831-position model. The record is from RNAcentral.
CCCUUAGAUGUUCUGGGCCGCACGCGUGCUACACUGAGUGGAUCAGCGGGUCAGGUUGCGCGAAAGCGUUUCCUAAUCUUUAAAUCCGCUCGUGAUGGGGAUUGACGGUUGCAAUUUUCUGUCAUGAACGAGGAAUACCUUGUAAGCGCGGGUCAUCAUCCCGCGCUGAAUACGUCCCUGCCCUUUGUACACACCGCCCGUCGCUCCUACCGAUUGAGUGGUCCGGUGAAGCCUCGGGAUUGUGGCGGUUGCCUUUAUUGGUGGCCGCCGCGAGAACUUGUCUAAACCUUAUCAUCUAGAGGAAGGUGAAGUCGUAACA